ACGGAGGAUGCAAGCGUUAUCCGGAUUCAAUGGGUUUAAAGGGUGCGCAGGCGGAAUGAUAAGUCAGUGGUGAAAUCUCUCGGCUCAACUGAGAAACUGCCAUUGAUACUGUUGUUCUUGAGUACACUUGAAGUGGGCCGAAUGUGUCAUGUAGCGGUGAAAUGCUUAGAUAUGCCCCAGAACUCCGCUGGCGAAGGCCGCUCGCUAAAUUGUAACUGACGCGCAGGCACGAAAGCGUAGCGAGCAAACAG
RNAcentral lists this ribosomal RNA (251 nucleotides) under uncultured prokaryote. RNAcentral describes it as "partial 16S rRNA". It matches the Rfam family "Bacterial small subunit ribosomal RNA", at positions 525 to 775 of the family's 1533-position model. The record is from RNAcentral.